CAAGAACAACCCAUCGGCUGAUACAGUAAAACAAACAGUAGAGGAGCCUCUGCUAGCUGCAUCUUGAUGUCUCACAGGCCUGCAGCACAAGUGGCGUAUAUCAAUUAGAGCUGCAGACUCGAACGAGAGUAACAAAGCAUGGGAAACUAGAGACAAAAAGGAAAACAGCAAGCAGCGAAAAAGGCGGCCCGGAGGAAGACGAGCGAGAUGCGUGUUGCAGAAGCUUGCCCAAGAGUUACGUGGCGAGAGUACCGCUACAGUUUCUCCCUCCCUUCUCUGCUAGCUGCCAUGGCUUUUGGGGGUGGGGACGCCGGACGGGCGACGGAGUCGAGCACCUGCAUGCCUCUCGUGGCCUGAGGCGGGCUCGCACUCCCACCAAGCGAGCUGCUGCUCUGAUGCAUGCACUGCGUGCCUCGUUGCUUUCAUGCCGUUCUGGUGUAAGCUCCAACCCCCCUGCGCUGGCUUUACAGCCCUCCUUUGAUGGUUACGUAUUAAGCGCGGGCUACGAGGCGGGAGCGCAGCGGCCCUGCGCCUUUUUCUUGUUGGCUUCAUUCAUCCUUCUUGGAAGGAGCUAAGCAAUGAUGUGCAUCUGUAGUUGGGUUGUUGGGU
This 609-nucleotide long non-coding RNA is filed under the name Musa acuminata (dwarf banana). RNAcentral's name for it is "long non-coding RNA (MACU_LNC006367)". Lineage: Eukaryota; Viridiplantae; Streptophyta; Magnoliopsida; Zingiberales; Musaceae. The record is from RNAcentral.